GGUAGUGGGGGAUAACCUGGGGAAACUCAGGCUAAUACCGCAUACGUCAUACGGGAGAAAGGGGGCUUUGGCUCCCGCUAUCGGAUGAGCCUAUGCCGGAUUAGCUGGUUGGUGAGGUAAAGGCUCACCAAGGCGACGAUCCGUAGCUGGUCUGAGAGGAUGAUCAGCCACAUCGGGACUGAGACACGGCCCCCACUCCUACGGGAGGCAGCAGUGGGGACCGUUGGACAAUGGGGGCAACCCUGAUCCAGCCAUGCCGCGUGUGUGAAGAAGGCCCUCGGGUUGUAAAGCACUUUCAGCGAGGAAGAACGCCUGGUGGUUAAUACCCGCCAGGAAAGACAUCACUCGCAGAAGAAGCACCGGCUAACUCCGUGCCAGCAGCCGCGGUAAUACGGAGGGUGCAAGCGUUAAUCGGAAUUACUGGGCGUAAAGCGCGCGUAGGUGGCUUGAUAAGCCGGUUGUGAAAGCCCCGGGCUCAACCUGGGAACGGCAUCCGGAACUAUGAGGCUAGAGUGCAGGAGAGGAAGGUAGAAUUCCCGGUGUAGCGGUGAAAUGCGUAG
This 560-nucleotide ribosomal RNA is filed under the name Vreelandella arcis. Its description in RNAcentral is "bacterial SSU rRNA". It matches the Rfam family "Bacterial small subunit ribosomal RNA", at positions 132 to 693 of the family's 1533-position model. The record is from RNAcentral. Lineage: Bacteria; Pseudomonadati; Pseudomonadota; Gammaproteobacteria; Oceanospirillales; Halomonadaceae.